CUAAAAGCACUUUUAGCACUAUAUAGUUUACUAACACUUACCUGCUUUUUACAUAACAAUUUCUUUUCACAACAUAGUAUAAGCAGUUUUGAAAAGAAAAAAAAACCACAACUCCAAACUAACCCUAAAUGUGUAUGUGGCACUCGUAUUUCUUUGUAACUUAAAUGCGAAACAAUAUUCUUUUUUUCUUUUGGAACAAAUGUGGAACAAUAUUCUAACCAAAAGGAAAAGGCAUAGCACAAGUACUUCAACGAAAAGUGCUUCUCUUUAUGAAAUUGCACUUACUUUUUUUCCAUAGAAAAAGUUUAUGGCAAGUGGCUUAAGUCUUAAGAUGCUUGAAUUAAUUUGUAAUUGGCUUUUUGCUAAGUGAUCUUUAAUUAGUGCAUGAAAUGAUUUCCACUUAAAAAUAAAAAUAAAAAUCGUACCUAUUACUGUAUAAUAUGACUUGAUCAUCAUCAAAUCGUAGCCUAAAUAAACAAGCCUUGAAUUAAGGUCAUCAUUAUUGGAGUGUAAUUAUUUUUUAAUGAAAGUAGUAUAUAAUACUCUAAUUAUUAUAUUAUGGUUGAAUAUAAUAUAUAAUAAACGAAACAUCGCAUAAUUAAGACAAGACGUCAUCACCGAAUUGAUUAAUCAAGUUACUAUUGGAUGACACGCAACCCCUAUAUUAUAAACAAAAUAUAACAAAUAUUAUCAGUCAAUAAUUUGGAGUCACCCUCCUCAAAUUGAAUAUGUUCAUGCCUAUUCUGUGAACACGAAUAAAGUAAAAAUAAAACCAAUUCUAGUGUUAAUUGGAUGAUUUAGACCACAUUUUAGCCAUCAAAAUAUAAUAUUCUCCUGGAAGCCAGCCAAAAGGACGUAAUAUUCCCAUGGGUUAUUGUGAACUCAUUUGCUCGAAUCAAAACUUAUGCUUCCGUUGCUGUCCAAAUGAAUUUGGUAGCUAAACAAGUUAGAUACAGAUAAUGUGGAUUAGAUCAGUUGACUUAAUUAAAUUCAACUUUAUCAAAAUGAAUUUGGUAGCUAAUUAAGUUAGGUCCAAGUAUAUCAAAUUUAUAUAAGUUAAUGAGGAUAACACCUUAGUUUAGCUUAAGCUCAAGUUUAAAAUCAAUCAAAGUUGUUUUGUAUUUAAUUAAAUAAAAGACCAAUUAGAAAUGAUUUUUGCAGAUCAUUUAUCUUCUACCAUAUAAUACGUUUGUUUUCUUCUAUUAAUUAUUAUGUGCUUUAUUCGACCCAAAAGUUGAAAAUAAACAACGCGUGCAUGAAAAGAAAAAAGACGGGCCUAAAAAUCAUCUUACGAAAUCAAUAAUUACAGGUUUAAUAAUCUACAAAAGAAAAGAAAGCAAAGAAAGACCGAUUGACCGGACCGACUUGGGCAUUCACAUUUUCCUUCUUUCUAUUUUCUACACAGCGCGAAUCCUAUCGCUUUCAUAAGCAAAGCGUGAAGUUUGCUUUGCCGUUCAACGUUCAACUAAUUUCACAAACUACAGUGGGUCCCCCCCCACUCACGAUACCAAUCCAAUAAAACGCGAUACGCGAGCGGCGAUUUUUCGCACUUGGUUGUCGCGU
This 1563-nucleotide long non-coding RNA is filed under the name Malus domestica (apple). Its description in RNAcentral is "long non-coding RNA (MDOM_LNC002578)". Lineage: Eukaryota; Viridiplantae; Streptophyta; Magnoliopsida; Rosales; Rosaceae. The record is from RNAcentral.